Molecule: long non-coding RNA, 380 nt
Filed under: Pan troglodytes (chimpanzee)
Lineage: Eukaryota; Metazoa; Chordata; Mammalia; Primates; Hominidae
Description: long non-coding RNA NONPTRT013795
Source: RNAcentral
UUUUGCCUAUUUUUAUAUUGAGAGUGUUUGCUCUUUUAAAUGUUAAGGUUAACGUUUUAUCUUCCAUAACUGAUAUGAAUAUUUUUUUCUAAUGUGUCCUUAAUUUUAUUUAUGGCAUUUUUUACAUAUAGCCAUUUUUAAUGUCUAUGUCAGAAUAAUAGUUUUAUCAUUAGGGUGAUUGUGAAUACUCUGCAAGGAUGAUACUGGAGAGUCAGGAAAGUCACAUGAAAGCUGCAAUGUGAUGUUCAAGAAGAGCAGAAGUUAACUUGGGCCUCGGCAACCUGUGGUGGGUUGGAGGUAGCGGAAAAGGUGGGAGGGUGUACAGUGGGAAGAGCAGAGGUCUGGUGUGAGCCGGAGCCUGGCAUAUCUCAGGAGCCAGA